RNAcentral lists this ribosomal RNA (306 nucleotides) under Triticum aestivum (bread wheat). RNAcentral's name for it is "partial small subunit ribosomal RNA". The record is from RNAcentral. Lineage: Eukaryota; Viridiplantae; Streptophyta; Magnoliopsida; Poales; Poaceae.
AUGGCGCCAUCAUCCAAGCUCCUCCUCCUGUUCUUUGCCAUGGCACUGACGGUCUCCACCGUUCACGGUUGCGGAUACAACUGCCCGCCCCUGUCUCCGCCCCCGCCACCACCACCGUUGUACCCGCCGCCAUCACCGCCGCCGUCGCCACCGCCACCGCCACCGGCGUACCCCCCGCCGCCACCAUCACCGUCAACCAGCUAUGGCUCGUGCCCGAAUCUGCAAGUGUGCGUCAACGUGCUGCACCUGCCGAAUCUCAGUCUCGGCUUGUUUGCUAGUGAGUGCUGCCCGCUGCUCUACGGGUAG